RNAcentral lists this ribosomal RNA (613 nucleotides) under Ascomycota sp. RNAcentral's name for it is "LSU rRNA". It matches the Rfam family "Eukaryotic large subunit ribosomal RNA", at positions 37 to 668 of the family's 3401-position model. Lineage: Eukaryota; Fungi; Ascomycota. The record is from RNAcentral.
UGCAUAUCAAUAAGCGGAGGAAAAGAAACCAACAGGGAUUACCUCAGUAACGGCGAGUGAAGCGGUAACAGCUCAAAUUUGAAAUCUGGCCGCAAGGUCCGAGUUGUAAUUUGUAGAGGAUGUUUCGAGCAUGGUCUGGCCUAAGUUCCUUGGAACAGGACGUCAUAGAGGGUGAGAAUCCCGUAUGCGGUCAGGUGCCUACGCUCAUGUGAAACUCCUUCGACGAGUCGAGUUGUUUGGGAAUGCAGCUCAAAAUGGGUGGUAAAUUUCAUCUAAAGCUAAAUAUUGGCCAGAGACCGAUAGCGCACAAGUAGAGUGAUCGAAAGAUGAAAAGCACUUUGGAAAGAGAGUUAAACAGUACGUGAAAUUGUUGAAAGGGAAGCGCUUGCAACCAGACUUGCGCGCGGCUGAUCAUCCGGGCUUCUGCCCGGUGCACUCGGUCGCGCUCAGGCCAGCAUCGGUUUUGGUGGCGGGAUAAAGGCCUUGGGAAUGUAGCUCCUCUCGGGGAGUGUUAUAGCCCAGGGUGCAAUGCCGCCUACCGGGACCGAGGACCGCGCUUCGGCUAGGAUGCUGGCGUAAUGGUUGUAAGCGACCCGUCUUGAAACACGGACAA